RNAcentral lists this long non-coding RNA (1612 nucleotides) under Homo sapiens (human). RNAcentral's name for it is "OSER1 divergent transcript, transcript variant 2 (OSER1-DT)". Lineage: Eukaryota; Metazoa; Chordata; Mammalia; Primates; Hominidae. The record is from RNAcentral.
GUGAGUAGGCGUCAUUCUUCACAGUAGUCCUCUGCCUCCACCGCCCCGGGAUCUCCUUGCGCUCGGUCCUCUACGUGGAGUCACCUAUGCAGAGGAAUUCCACGGGGCGGGGGCGAGGACAGGGUGCGGGGGUCUUUAUGGCAGACAAUCCCCGGCUGAGCGCUUGGCCAGAGUUUCUGUGAUGCUAGAAUCUGGACUGCCUGCGACCUCUCCGGGACUCGGACACCAGCCCUCGCCUCCUGGUGAUCUUUUAGGUCCUGCAGAGAAGUGAAGAGAUCUCGCUCUGUCACCCAGGCUGGAGUGAAAUGGCACAAUCUUGGCUCACUGUAACCUCCGCCCCCAGGUUCGACUGAUUCUCGUGCCUCAGCCUCCUCAGUAGCUGGGAUUACAGAUGAGCCCCAGAGAGGCGAAGCCACUUGAGCUCGUGAGUGACAGUCAGAUGUCAAGCCCUGCUCUUUCUAAAGCGUGCUGCCUUCAGAAAAGAAGAGCCAGAAGGAUGGAAAUUACUUCAGAAAGAUGAAUACCAGCUUUGAAGGAAUAAAAGCUGACGAGGAAUUGAAGGAGUUGAGGCACGAGCUUGAACAGGGUUGCAUGUUUGGCCCUUGAUUGUAAAUGCCCAUUGCUGCACCUGUUCCUGUUACUUGGGGAGUUGCAGCAGAAGGAACAGCGGCCUGGGACUCCAGAGAACUGGGUUCCCUCUCAUCCCUCCAGGGCCACCACUUCUUGUGGGCCCUUGGGCAAGUCACUGUACUUUCUGAGUCUCAGUUUCCCCAUUUGCAGAAUGGAAAUAACUACCCCGGUCUACCAACUUAGAAGAAUUGCUUUGAGGAUCUGAUAAGGUGGUGUGGAUGAUGCUGCCUUGGGGGCUUUACAGUCUGGAGCUCAAGGGACCCCUUAAGUUGGGCUUACUUAGUAACUCCAGGGGUGGGCAGAACAGGACUCCAAUGAGGGUUUUUUUCUUUUUCCCUUUUUUUUCUUUUCCUAUCUCUUAACUUUUAUCUUUAUUAUUUUACAAUGCCCUUGUAAGAUGAAACAAGUGAUGCUGAAAUAUCUUUUUCUUUUUUAACCUUUAUUUUAGAAUUGGGGUACAUGUGCAGGUUUGUUACAUAGGUACAGUGUGGGCUGCUGAGGUUUGGGAGUACGAAUGAAUUAGUCACCCCAGUGGUGAGCAUAGUGCCCGAUAAGUGGUUUUUUCAACCCUUACUCCCAUCCCUCUCCAUUCUUGUGUUCCCCAGUGUCUGCUGUUCCCAUUUUUAUGACCAUGUGUACUCAAUGUUUAGCUCCCACUUAGAAGUAAGAACAUGCCCAGCACUUUGGGAGGCCGAGGUGGGUGGAUCAUGAGGUCAAGAGAUCGAGACCAUCUUGGCUAACAAAGUGAAACCCUGUCUCUACUAAAAACAUAAAAAAUUGGCCGGGUGUGGUGGUGGGCACCUGUAGUCCUAGCUACUCGGGAGGCUGAGACAGGAGAAUCGCCUGAACCGGGGAGGUGGAGGUUGCAGUGAGCUGAGAUUGUACCACUGCACUCCAGCCUGGGUGACAGAGUGAGACUCCAUCUCAAAAAAAUAAAAAUAAAAAAAUAAAAAGAAUGUGGUGUAUGAAAAAAAAAAAAAAA